UGACGCAGCAAUGCCGCGUGAGUGAAGAAGGCCUUCGGGUCGUAAAGCUCUUUUAUGGGGGAAGAUGAUGACGGUACCCCAUGAAUAAGCACCGGCUAACUACGUGCCAGCAGCCGCGGUAAUACGUAGGGUGCGAGCGUUGUUCGGAAUUACUGGGCGUAAAGGGCGUGCAGGCGGAUUGGCAAGCCGGAGGUGAAAGCCCGGGGCUCAACCCCGGAGGGUCUUUCGGAACUGCCAGUCUUGAGAGGGUCAGGGGCCAGCGGAAUUCCUGGUGUAGAGGUGAAAUUCGUAGAGAUCAGGAGGAACACCGGCGGCGAAAGCGGCUGGCUGGGGCCACUCUGACGCUGAGGCGCGAAAGCGUGGGGAGCAAACAGGAUUAGAUACCCUGGUAGUCCACGCCGUAAACGAUGGGCACUAAGCGUCCGACGGGUUCGACCCUGUUGGGUGCUGCAGUUAACGCGUUAAGUGCCCCGCCUGGGGAGUACGGUCGCAAGACUA
Molecule: ribosomal RNA, 498 nt
Filed under: uncultured delta proteobacterium
Lineage: Bacteria; Deltaproteobacteria
Description: bacterial SSU rRNA
Rfam family: Bacterial small subunit ribosomal RNA
Source: RNAcentral